GAUGAACGCUGGCGGCGUGCUUAACACAUGCAAGUCGAACGAAGCGCUUAAGAUUGAUUCUUCGGAUGAUUUCUUUUGCGACUUAGUGGCGGACGGGUGAGUAACGCGUGGGUAACCUGCCUCACACAGGGGGAUAACAGUUAGAAAUGACUGCUAAUACCGCAUAACCCGAUAGGAUCGCAUGAUCCAGACGGAAAAGAUUUAUCGGUGUGAGAUGGACCCGCGUCUGAUUAGCUAGUUGGUGAGGUAACGGCCCACCAAGGCGACGAUCAGUAGCCGGCCUGAGAGGGUGAACGGCCACAUUGGGACUGAGACACGGCCCAAACUCCUACGGGAGGCAGCAGUGGGGAAUAUUGCACAAUGGGGGAAACCCUGAUGCAGCGACGCCGCGUGAGUGAAGAAGUAUUUCGGUAUGUAAAGCUCUAUCAGCAGGGAAGAAAAUGACGGUACCUGACUAAGAAGCCCCGGCUAACUACGUGCCAGCCGCCGCAGUAA
RNAcentral lists this ribosomal RNA (495 nucleotides) under uncultured bacterium. Its description in RNAcentral is "partial 16S ribosomal RNA". It matches the Rfam family "Bacterial small subunit ribosomal RNA", at positions 28 to 523 of the family's 1533-position model. The record is from RNAcentral.